RNAcentral lists this long non-coding RNA (254 nucleotides) under Carica papaya (papaya). RNAcentral's name for it is "long non-coding RNA (CPAP_LNC007157)". The record is from RNAcentral. Lineage: Eukaryota; Viridiplantae; Streptophyta; Magnoliopsida; Brassicales; Caricaceae.
AUUUUAAAAGAAAUACAAGAAAUAAGGAUUAGCAUCUACUCGCGAUCCUCUUGCAGAUCGGACUCUGGAUUCUGGUCUUCUCGAUCUCAAAUGGUUAAAUUUGGAUGUUACAGUUUUUUACAAUAGUACUUAACUAUGUAUAUAUAGGCCAAGUAAAACAAAGUUAUUGCUGAAAACAACGAAACUAUUACAAGAAUAAAGGAAAUGAUCUUCAAAAAAUAAAUUCCAAGAAAUCAGUAGAAUAAUGUUCCAUG